This is a non-coding RNA of Arachis ipaensis, 306 nucleotides long. NCBI's taxonomy places the organism in Eukaryota, Viridiplantae, Streptophyta, Magnoliopsida, Fabales, Fabaceae. The record is from RefSeq and is a predicted model, not a curated record.
GAAGUAAAAGGCUUAUCAGCAUAAGGGCAUUGAUGCUGAAUCCAAAAUAAUUUAGCAAUACCAGACUCGACAUCAAUUCAGGACUUAUCUGCAGUUUGCAAACUCAAUAAUUACAUAAUAAAGUGGCCACAUGUUCAUAAUAAACACUUCAAUUCUUCCAAUUACAAAGAUAUCAAACAUUAAUCUAGUACUAGUGUACUCCUUGGAGAAUAGAAAAUACUGUCUGAAUAAGCAGAAAAAUUCCAGCAAUAGAAGCUACCGUCUUCCAUGGAGUGUUGCAAUAAUCACACCUAGUCUAUAAAUUUA